UUGGGAUUUAGCCUGGUUUGGUGGGCUCCUGGCGAAUUAUUGCGUUCAUUCGGAACUUCGGCAAGGCAGCACUGCACUAUUGGACAACGGCAAGCUCACGUCGUCUGGUGGAGCUUCCUGCGGAAACUACUGCUGCUUACUUGGUGCCACAACGCUGGAUGAAUGCACAAAAAGCCCGCGACGAGCAUUUACAAAAAAUAAAACAAACGUUAAUUUUUCCACA
Molecule: non-coding RNA, 223 nt
Organism: Dermacentor albipictus
Lineage: Eukaryota; Metazoa; Arthropoda; Arachnida; Ixodida; Ixodidae
Source: RefSeq, a predicted model, not a curated record